GGACGAACCCUUGGAGAGAUCCACUCUGUACUAUAGUACAGAAAAUGGACGCCGAAGGCGCAAAUAUAAAGCAAAUUUAUGUGAAACGCUCAGGCAAAAGGACAGGGGAGAAAAG
This 115-nucleotide non-coding RNA is filed under the name Pseudactinobacillus ducreyi. Its description in RNAcentral is "Haemophilus ducreyi Glycine sequence". It matches the Rfam family "Glycine riboswitch aptamer". Rfam says of the family: This family represents the bacterial glycine riboswitch. Lineage: Bacteria; Pseudomonadati; Pseudomonadota; Gammaproteobacteria; Pasteurellales; Pasteurellaceae. RNAcentral also lists the same sequence under 1 other name. The record is from RNAcentral.